UUACUCCUACGGGAGGCAGCAGUAGGGAAUCUUCCACAAUGGACGAAAGUCUGAUGGAGCAACGCCGCGUGAGUGAAGAAGGUUUUCGGAUCGUAAAACUCUGUUGUUGGAGAAGAACGUAUUUGAUAGUAACUGAUCAGGUAGUGACGGUAUCCAACCAGAAAGCCACGGCUAACUACGUGCCAGCAGCCGCGGUAAU
This 199-nucleotide ribosomal RNA is filed under the name uncultured bacterium. RNAcentral describes it as "partial 16S ribosomal RNA". It matches the Rfam family "Bacterial small subunit ribosomal RNA", at positions 333 to 524 of the family's 1533-position model. The record is from RNAcentral.